This 495-nucleotide ribosomal RNA is filed under the name uncultured bacterium. RNAcentral describes it as "partial 16S ribosomal RNA". It matches the Rfam family "Bacterial small subunit ribosomal RNA", at positions 28 to 507 of the family's 1533-position model. The record is from RNAcentral.
GACGAACGCUGGCGGCGUGCCUAAUACAUGCAAGUAGAACGCUGAAGGAGGAGCUUGCUCUUCUGGAUGAGUUGCGAACGGGUGAGUAACGCGUAGGUAACCUGCCUGGUAGCGGGGGAUAACUAUUGGAAACGAUAGCUAAUACCGCAUAAGAGUAGAUGUUGCAUGACAUUUACUUAAAAGGUGCAAUUGCAUCACUACCAGAUGGACCUGCGUUGUAUUAGCUAGUUGGUGGGGUAACGGCUUACCAAGGCGACGAUACAUAGCCGACCUGAGAGGGUGAUCGUCCACACUGGGACUGAGACACGGCCCAGACUCCUACGGGAGGCAGCAGUAGGGAAUCUUCGGCAAUGGACGGAAGUCUGACCGAGCAACGCCGCGUGAGUGAAGAAGGUUUUCGGAUCGUAAAGCUCUGUUGUAAGAGAAGAACGAGUGUGAGAGUGGAAAGUUCACACUGUGACGGUAUCUUACCAGAAAGGGACGGCUAACUACGUG